CAAGGUUUAGAGGUGGAUGUUUCCAGUCAGAGAAAAGGAAACUGUGGAAGAAAGCCAAAGGACACCAAUCUAGAGCAAAUCCCGACCAUCCCACUGAACAAGAGGUCUAGUAUCAGAUCACUAGCUUGGCAGCUAGGAUGUAGCCCUACCACACUCCAUAGAAAGUUCAUGCUGAAGUUGAUAAGUAGGCAUACAAACUAUGUGAAGCCAGUUCUGAAGGAAAAAAAAGAAGGAUAG
This 237-nucleotide ribosomal RNA is filed under the name Triticum aestivum (bread wheat). RNAcentral describes it as "partial small subunit ribosomal RNA". The record is from RNAcentral. Lineage: Eukaryota; Viridiplantae; Streptophyta; Magnoliopsida; Poales; Poaceae.